Molecule: non-coding RNA, 27 nt
Filed under: Mus musculus (house mouse)
Lineage: Eukaryota; Metazoa; Chordata; Mammalia; Rodentia; Muridae
Source: RNAcentral
UGGGAAAGUCUGUGCUUAUCUUGGCUC